GGGUGAGUAAUGUCUGGGAAACUGCCUGAUGGAGGGGGAUAACUACUGGAAACGGUAGCUAAUACCGCAUAACGUCGCAAGACCAAAGAGGGGGACCUUCGGGCCUCUUGCCAUCAGAUGUGCCCAGAUGGGAUUAGCUAGUAGGUGGGGUAACGGCUCACCUAGGCGACGAUCCCUAGCUGGUCUGAGAGGAUGACCAGCCACACUGGAACUGAGACACGGUCCAGACUCCUACGGGAGGCAGCAGUGGGGAAUAUUGCACAAUGGGCGCAAGCCUGAUGCAGCCAUGCCGCGUGUAUGAAGAAGGCCUUCGGGUUGUAAAGUACUUUCAGCGGGGAGGAAGGUGCUGAGGUUAAUAACCUCAGCAAUUGACGUUACCCGCAGAAGAAGCACCGGCUAACUCCGUGCCAGCAGCCGCGGUAAUACGGAGGGUGCAAGCGUUAAUCGGAAUUACUGGGCGUAAAGCGCACGCAGGCGGUCUGUCAAGUCGGAUGUGAAAUCCCCGGGCUCAACCUGGGAACUGCAUUCGAAACUGGCAGGCUAGAGUCUUGUAGAGGGGGGUAGAAUUCCAGGUGUAGCGGUGAAAUGCGUAGAGAUCUGGAGGAAUACCGGUGGCGAA
RNAcentral lists this ribosomal RNA (619 nucleotides) under Enterobacter asburiae. RNAcentral describes it as "bacterial SSU rRNA". It matches the Rfam family "Bacterial small subunit ribosomal RNA", at positions 104 to 719 of the family's 1533-position model. The record is from RNAcentral. Lineage: Bacteria; Pseudomonadati; Pseudomonadota; Gammaproteobacteria; Enterobacterales; Enterobacteriaceae.